This 70-nucleotide transfer RNA is filed under the name Felis catus (domestic cat). Lineage: Eukaryota; Metazoa; Chordata; Mammalia; Carnivora; Felidae. RNAcentral also lists the same sequence under 3 other names. The record is from Rfam by way of RNAcentral.
UGGCUCAGUCAGUUGAGUGCCUGACUUUGGCUCAGGUCAUGGCCUCAUAGUCCGUGGGUUCAAGCCCCAC